UGCGUAGGUGGCGCCGUAAGUCGGGUGUGAAAUUUCGGAGCUUAACUCCGAAACUGCAUUCGAUACUGCGGUGCUUGAGGACUGGAGAGGAGACUGGAAUUCAUGGUGUAGCAGUGAAAUGCGUAGAGAUCAUGAGGAAGACCAGUGGCGAAGGCGGGUCUCUGGACAGUUCCCUGACACUGAGGCACGAAGGCCAGGGGAGCAAACG
Molecule: ribosomal RNA, 208 nt
Filed under: uncultured bacterium
Lineage: Bacteria
Description: partial 16S ribosomal RNA
Rfam family: Bacterial small subunit ribosomal RNA
Source: RNAcentral